AGCCCCUUGGGGGUGAAGCGGUGAAUUCAAGCCCCGGUAAACGGCGGUGGUAACUAUAACCAUCCUAAGGUAGCGAAAUUCCUUGUCGGGUAAGUUCCGACCUGCACGAAUGGCGUAACGACUUCCCCGCUGUCUCGACCAGGAGCUCGGCGAAAUUGCAGUACGAGUAAAGAUGCUCGUUAAGCGCAGAAGGACGAAAAGACCCCGGGACCUUUACUAUACCUUGGUAUUGGCGUCAGUCGCGGAUUGUGUAGCAUAGGCGGGAGGCUUCGAGGCGCGGGCGCCAGCCCGCGCGGAGCCGCAAGGUGAAAUACCGCUCUGUUCUCGUUUGACGUCUCACCUCGAACGGUCAUCCUGUUCAGGGACAGUGCCUGGCGGGUAGUUUAACUGGGGCGGUUGCCUCCCAAAGAGUAACGGAGGCGCUCAAAGGUCCGCUCAGCCCGGUUGGCAAUCGGGUGUCGAGUGCAAUCGCACAAGCGGGCUUGACUGCGAGGACGGCGGUCCGAGCAGGGACGAAAGUCGGAGAUAGUGAUCCGGUGCCGGCGCACGGGCGCGGCAUCGCUCAACGGAUAAAAGGUACCCCGGGGAUAACAGGCUGAUCAUUCCCAAGAGUCCAUAUCGACGGGAUGGUUUGGCACCUCGAUGUCGGCUCGUCGCAUCCUGGGGCUGGAGCAGGUCCCAAGGGUUCGGCUGUUCGCCGAUUAAAGCGGCACGCGAGCUGGGUUCAGAACGUCGUGAGACAGUUUGGUCUCUAUCCUCUGCGCUCGUUGGAAUCCUGGGGAGGCCUGCCCAUAGUACGAGAGGACCUGGGUGGACGAGCCUCUGGUAUGCCGGUUGUCGCGCCAGCGGCACGGCCGGUUGGCUACGUUCGGGGAGGGAUAACCGCUGAAAGCCUCUAAGGGGGGAAGCCUGGUCCGAGAUUAGGAUUCUUUCGGUCUUGAACCGUUGAAGCCCGCCUGUGGGACGCGUGUGUGGAUGGCCGGAGGUGGAAGCCCCGCGAGGGGUGAACCCGACGGUACUUACGGGCGACGGCAAAUAGCG
RNAcentral lists this ribosomal RNA (1041 nucleotides) under human gut metagenome. RNAcentral's name for it is "bacterial LSU rRNA". It matches the Rfam family "Bacterial large subunit ribosomal RNA", at positions 1892 to 2925 of the family's 2925-position model. The record is from RNAcentral.